This 102-nucleotide microRNA precursor is filed under the name Marmota monax (woodchuck). Lineage: Eukaryota; Metazoa; Chordata; Mammalia; Rodentia; Sciuridae. The record is from RNAcentral.
AGUGGGAUAGCUGGGUCAUAUGGUAUUCCAUUUCUAGCUUUUUGAGGAAUCUCCAUACUGCUUUUCAGAGUGGUUGCACUAAUUUUCAGUCCCACCAACAAC